AUGAGCAAGGCGGGCAAGGCCACCACCACCACCACCCUCCCGCAGGCUCCAGCGGAGGCAGCCACUGCGGUCCCCCAGGGCCCAGCGCCCAAGAGCCCGGUGGGCAGCGGCUCGUCCCAGGCCGCAGGCCCGGCGCCCGCCGCCCUUGUCACAGGAAUCUCCAGUGGGGACGCGGCCCCGCAGCCACGGGCACCACGCCCCCCACCUCUUCAGCCCCCUCCGGCAGUGAAGACGUGGAGAAAAAAGUUCUCGCCACCAAAGUCCUUGGCACUGUCAAAUGGUUCAACGUCAAAAAUGGAUAUGGAUUUAUAAAUCGAAAUGACACCAAAGAAGAUGUAUUUGUACAUCAGACUUGCCAUCAAGAAGAAUAACCCACGGAAAUAUCUGCGCAGUGUAGGAGAUGGAGAAACUGUAGAGUUUGAUGUGGUUGAAAGAGAGAAGGGUGCAGAAGUGGCCAAUGUGACUGGACCAGAUGGAGUUCCGGUAGAAGGGAGCCUUUAUGCUGCUGAUCCGCGCGGUUACUUAUGGCACACGCCGUGGACCUCCCGGUAAUGCUGGUGAGAUUGGAGAGAUGAAGGAGGGAGUCCCAGAGGCGGCACAACUUCAGGGACUGGUUCAUCGAAAUCCAGCUUACCACCCAAGGUACCGGAGAGGCCCUCCUCGCCCCAGACCUGCCCCAGCUGUUGGCGAGGCUGAAGAUAAAGAGAACCAAUAAGUGGCCAAUGGUCCAAACCAGCCAUCUGCUCGCCGUGGAUACCGGCGCCCCUACAACUAUCAGCGUCGCCCCCAUCCUCCUAAUGCUCCUUCACAAGAUGGCAAAGAGACCAAGGCAGGUGAAGUGCCAUCUGAGAACCCUGCUCCAGCCACCGAGCAGAGCAGUGCUGAGUAA
Odobenus rosmarus divergens (Pacific walrus) is the source of this 889-nucleotide RNA transcript. It is a transcript of the gene named DNA-binding protein A-like, with no coding region annotated. The transcript has a single exon. The record is from RefSeq and is a predicted model, not a curated record. NCBI's taxonomy places the organism in Eukaryota, Metazoa, Chordata, Mammalia, Carnivora, Odobenidae.